This 434-nucleotide ribosomal RNA is filed under the name uncultured archaeon. Its description in RNAcentral is "bacterial SSU rRNA". It matches the Rfam family "Archaeal small subunit ribosomal RNA", at positions 19 to 458 of the family's 1478-position model. The record is from RNAcentral.
GGACCUGACUGCUAUCGGAUUGAUACUAAGCCAUGCGAGUCAUCGUAGUAAUACAAGGCAGACGGCUCAGUAACGCGUAGUCAACCUACCCUAUGGACGGGGAUAACCUCGGGAAACUGAGAAUAAUACCCGAUAGAACAUUAUGCCUGGAAUGGUUUAUGUUUCAAAUAAUUUAUUGCCGUAGGAUGGGACUGCGGCCUAUCAGUUUGUUGGUGAGGUAAUGGCCCACCAAGACUAUUACAGGUACGGGCUCUGAGAGGAGUAGCCCGGAGAUGGGUACUGAGACACGGACCCAGGCCCUAUGGGGCGCAGCAGGCGAGAAAACUUUGCAAUGUGCGAAAGCACGACAAGGUUAAUCCGAGUGGUUUCUGCUAAAGGAACCUUUUGUCAGUCCUAGAAACACUGAUGAAUAAGGGGUGGGCAAGUUCUGGUGU